GACGAACGCUGGCGGCGUGCUUAACACAUGCAAGUCGAACGGAAAGGCCCUGCUUUUGUGGGGUUCUCGAGUGGCGAACGGGUGAGUAACACGUGAGUAACCUGCCCUUGACUUUGGGAUAACUUCAGGAAACUGGGGCUAAUACCGGCUAGGAGCUCCUGCUUCAUGGUGGGGGUUGGAAAGUUUCGGCGGUUGGGGAUGUACUCGCGGCUUAUCAGCUUGUUGGUGGGGUAGUGGCUUACCAAGGCUUUGAAGGGUAGCCGGCCUGAGAGGGGGACCGGCCACCUUGGGCCUGCGAUACGGCCCAGACUCCUACGGGACGCAGCAGUGGGGAAUAUUGCACAGUGGGCGGAAGCCUGAUGCGGCAACGCCGCGUGCGGGAAGACGGGCUUCGGGUUGUAAACCGAUGUCGCCUGAGACGAAGCGUGAGUGACGGUAAUGGGUAAAGAAGCACCGGCUAACUACGUG
This 468-nucleotide ribosomal RNA is filed under the name uncultured bacterium. RNAcentral's name for it is "partial 16S ribosomal RNA". It matches the Rfam family "Bacterial small subunit ribosomal RNA", at positions 28 to 507 of the family's 1533-position model. The record is from RNAcentral.